RNAcentral lists this ribosomal RNA (430 nucleotides) under uncultured archaeon. Its description in RNAcentral is "bacterial SSU rRNA". It matches the Rfam family "Archaeal small subunit ribosomal RNA", at positions 474 to 903 of the family's 1478-position model. The record is from RNAcentral.
UACCAGCUCUCCGAGUGGUAGGGAUGAUUAUUGGGCUUAAAGCGUCCGUAGCCGGCUUAGCAAGUCUCCUGUUAAAUUCAGCGACCUAAUCGUUGAGCCGCGGGAGAUACUACUAGGCUAGGAGGCGGGAGAGGUCAACGGUACUUCCGGGGUAGGGGUGAAAUCCUAUAAUCCCGGGAGGACCACCAGUGGCGAAGGCUGUUGACUAGAACGCGCUCGACGGUGAGGGACGAAAGCUGGGGGAGCGAACCGGAUUAGAUACCCGGGUAGUCCCAGCUGUAAACGAUGCGAGCUAGGUGUUGGGGUGGCUACGUGCCACUUCAGUGCCGCAGGGAAGCCAUUAAGCUCGCCGCCUGGGGAGUACGGCCGCAAGGCUGAAACUUAAAGGAAUUGGCGGGGGAGCGACCACAAGGCGUGAAGCUUGCGGUUC